CAAGGUUCCUGUGUGCGUGCCCAUGUGUGUGGCAGCACCACAGGGAGGAGAGAGCAAGUCCCCAUAUCCAGCUCGAGGCUCAUACUGACAGGGGCCUUUUGUCUGGGAGAGCAGGAUGAGGGGCAGCAUUUGGCGCUGACUAGAGGAUCGGUCCUGCCUUGCUUUCUUGUUUCGUGAUCCAGUACAAUGGUUGGCAGCAGCUGUGGCCAGUAGGUUACCUCGUCCAACCUGCCCACUGUACAAUAGGAACCUGAGGACUCCAGAUGGGAAGUGGCUUGCUCAAGGUCACACAGGGAGGCAAGGCUAAAGGCUGCCUCAGAGUCUAGUAGGCUGACAUUCUUGCUCUGACUGUGGGGUCCCAGAUGAAGAGCAUGAAGCCCUCCUUCCCUGGCUCAUGUAGGGGAGUCAAAUCCCCUCCUACUCAACGGCUGCCUUUCUGCGAGGCAGGUGGAGAGAAGGAGGCCCAAGCCGCACACCAGAAGGCAGUGGAGGACUUCACCACAAUGCAGAGAAGCCACAUGGGGUGCACCAGAAAACCCACUUCAAACCUGAAGAUGGUGGAGAGUUCCACCCCUAGAGAUGCCCAAAUAAGGUCAUAUGAACUACUGCUACAGUGUGAGGAUCUCAAAUUAGAUGCCAGGAGGGAACUCAGGGAAAACAAGAUCACUAGCUGGUGGGUCUGGGCUUGUGGGGAUGGGCUGGCUCCUUGGUGGCCCAGCUGCCCUGCUCCAGAGGAAGGUCAAGGACAAGUAGUGUUGGGGCAGGACAAGGAGAGAUGGGCACUGGGUCCUCGUGGACUUUUCUUCUAGAUGCCUCCCCUUCUCAUGCAGCUGUCUUACUGUCCCCCAAUGGAGUGUGGUCUCCGAGGGAUGGAGGGACUCAUAGGGUGGGGGACUGGAAGACAGGGAGGGUGGGUUCUGCUAAGCCCCGGCUUCUGGCUGCCCAGCGUGUCAGUUUAUUAUUGGCCUGGGUAACAGCUGGGAAUGACAAGGACACCCUGGAGAAGGGAGUGGAGUGAGAUCGGGGCCAUCCUAAGCUCCCAAGAUCUUCCAAAACGCCAUCUGGUGGGGCCAAGGAAGGCAGGGGGGUGACAGGAAUGCCUCUGCGCACCCCGCCCCUAAGCCCUGAACAAACCUGGCAAGUCCCAAAAGAAAGGACCCUGGGCCUCUGAAGGAGCAUUUCUGUCCUUCAGACGUGUGUGGGAAACAUUUGUUGCCCAAAUGCCUGGACACGGGGGAGUGGGAGAAAGCUGAACCAGCACAAAGAGGGCUUUUUAGUGGUCAAUCCACCCUGGACCAGGUGGUGGCUUGCUCAGAAAAAAGCAUGACAAGGACAGAGCAGUAGCUGGGGACCCUUGAGCCACAUUCCACUCCCAAUAAAAUAUGCCUCAUGAUCCUUUCAGCGGUGGCUCUCUCUGAAAUGCAUUGCCACCUUCUACAUGACAUUGCUCCUUCAGCCAGGGUCCCUUAUGGUUCACCCAAAUUGAGUGACAGUAAGCCCUAGAGCCAAGGACACAGGUGCCUUUCCCACUUGAGAAGAACCUGUAAUGUAAGGGUUCUUCUCAUGGUGGGGGGGGGGGCUCAGGACAGGAAGGAAGGAAGGAAGGAGGAGUUAGGGAGCUGGUUUACUGAGCCUGGAUCCUCUGGAGAUCCCUGAGGAAAUGCGUGGAUCCCUCCAGUGGGAGGAGGUGAGGUGCCUCCAGAUGAACCAUGUUGCCAGAAGUUUCUUAGCUUCACCACGGGACCUUCAAAAUCUGCCUCCAUUGCCGUCACCUCUGGGGAAGCUGCUGGUUUGUGGCAUCUGACUCAGUCUUCUUCAGAGACUCUUGGAGAUGGGGUCAGACUGAAGAGAUAACCAGAAACCUCUCCAUCUUUAUCUCAAAUGGGAGCUCCUACUCAGGGAACUCAGAGGUACUGAGUUCUGAGUAAAACAAGAGGAACAAGAAGAUCUUUUGCUUAGAGAGGGACAAGAGUUUCAGCUCCACACCUACUCAGGGAAAAAUAGAAAGUGCAAGGAUCCUGUAGCCACCAAAGACAUUGACUCAGUUACAAGUCAUCCUCAGAAAUAGCCAGCCAAGAUGGCUUUACCGAUGACUGCUACCAAAUGUUCAAGGAACAGAUAAGUCCUUUAGACACAACUGUCAGAAAAUGGAAUGAGCCAAACUCCCCAGCUCGUUUUUAUGAGGCUACCAGAACCUUGAUACCCCAGAUCAGUUUAUCAUCAGCCUGGGCAACAGCUGGGGUGGCCAACGGGUCACCCAGCUCAACCUAGAGUGUGG
This 2278-nucleotide long non-coding RNA is filed under the name Marmota monax (woodchuck). Lineage: Eukaryota; Metazoa; Chordata; Mammalia; Rodentia; Sciuridae. The record is from RNAcentral.